CCACUCUUCCCAAUCUCUUAGAUUUCAAGCAGCCUUGCUCUGUUCUGUACUAGGGUUUGGUUUGAGUUUGGCUUCUGUUUUUUAAUCACUAUGAGGGCAAAGUGGAAGAAGAAGCGUAUGAGGAGGCUGAAGAGGAAGCGCCGAAAGAUGAGACAGAGAUCGAAGUAGUGUGUGUGUUUCCCAAACAACAAUUGCUCUUAGUUUUGUUUCGUUUCCGUGUUGCUUUUGUUCUCUAAUGUUAUGAUACAUUUUUAUUGGUUACUUUUGUUCUUGUCUUAGCUCAUAAAUUUUCUUCCUGCGGAUUAACUAGAUUUAAUAUUUGAAUCUCA
This is a long non-coding RNA of Abrus precatorius (Indian licorice), 329 nucleotides long. RefSeq lists it as uncharacterized. The transcript is spliced from 2 exons. The record is from RefSeq and is a predicted model, not a curated record. Lineage: Eukaryota; Viridiplantae; Streptophyta; Magnoliopsida; Fabales; Fabaceae.